Molecule: long non-coding RNA, 810 nt
Organism: Sinocyclocheilus anshuiensis
Lineage: Eukaryota; Metazoa; Chordata; Actinopteri; Cypriniformes; Cyprinidae
Exons: 4
Source: RefSeq, a predicted model, not a curated record
AAGAAACAAAGUCACCUACAUCUUGGAUGCCCUGGGGCUCUGAGCUCCGGUGUGAACUCUUAUGUGUUUUACUUGGUGUCUGAGAAAAUGAACUGGACCGAAGCUCAGACCUACUGCAGACAGCAUCACACCGAUCUCGUCACCUUAAAUGACCAGACGUACAUCGAUGAGCUGUUACAAUCUCUACCCAGUGGUUUUAGCAAUUGAAUGUGGAUUGGACUCUAUCGGACGGAUGAGUAUUCUCCCUGGGUCUGGGUCUGGUCCGAUGGGAGCAAAGCCCUGUUCACACCGUGGGAUUCUUUACAACCAAACAAUGUUGGUGGCCACCAGUACUGUGUGUGCAUGUCUGCUAAAGGAUACUGGAGCGAUUAUUGGUGUACAGAUAAAUUACCAUUUAUUUGCUACACUGAGAAAAAGAGACAGAUGGUGAGACUGGAGGUAAAAUCAAGCCGAAAUGUGAAUGAUCCUGCAGUGAAGAGUAAGAUUUUGGCAGAGUUAGAGCAGAUACUGAAGGAGAAUGGUCUUGACAGAUGCCAAGCCCUCGUGGAGGGAGUUUUCUGGAGAAAAUGUCUUCCACAAGAUGUGGUAUCAGAAGAGUGAUGCUUCUAAUGCGUCCUGCAAGAGAACCAUGAACUGAUCAUCUCAUAAUAGCAUUUGUUGUGUAAUUGUAGAUGCUCUCAGAAAAUGUGGCUCACUGAGACAUGAGUUGUCGUUAUACAAUUAUGUAUGAACUACACCGUAGAGUUAAUAAAUCAAAGAUUAUUGGAGUAGAUUUUACAGGAAAAUACUAUUUCAGUCUUUCUACUUAAA